RNAcentral lists this non-coding RNA (107 nucleotides) under Eubacterium sp. Its description in RNAcentral is "TPP sequence". It matches the Rfam family "TPP riboswitch aptamer (THI element)". Rfam says of the family: Vitamin B(1) in its active form thiamin pyrophosphate (TPP) is an essential coenzyme that is synthesised by coupling of pyrimidine and thiazole moieties in bacteria. The previously detected thiamin-regulatory element, thi box was extended, resulting in a new, highly conserved RNA secondary structure, the THI element, which is widely distributed in eubacteria and also occurs in some archaea. RNAcentral also lists the same sequence under 1 other name. The record is from RNAcentral. Lineage: Bacteria; Bacillati; Bacillota; Clostridia; Eubacteriales; Eubacteriaceae.
UGAAAAUAAAAGGGGAGCUUGCAUAAGCUUGCUGAGAGUAGGUUGUAUACCUUGACCCAUAACCUGAUUUGGAUAAUGCCAACGUAGGAACAUAAUUAUAGCAGAUU